GUACACUCCUACGGGAGGCAGCAGUGGGGAAUUUUGGACAAUGGGCGAAAGCCUGAUCCAGCAAUGCCGCGUGUGUGAAGAAGGCCUUCGGGUUGUAAAGCACUUUUGUCCGGAAAGAAAUCCUUGGCUCUAAUACAGUCGGGGGAUGACGGUACCGGAAGAAUAAGCACCGGCUAACUACGUGCCAGCAGCCGCGGUAAUACGUAGGGUGCGAGCGUUAAUCGGAAUUACUGGGCGUAAAGCGUGCGCAGGCGGUUUGCUAAGACCGAUGUGAAAUCCCCGGGCUCAACCUGGGAACUGCAUUGGUGACUGGCAGGCUAGAGUAUGGCAGAGGGGGGUAGAAUUCCACGUGUAGCAGUGAAAUGCGUAGAGAUGUGGAGGAAUACCGAUGGCGAAGGCAGCCCCCUGGGCCAAUACUGACGCUCAUGCACGAAAGCGUGGGGAGCAAACAGGAUUAGAAACCCCAGUAGUCCCAUGAU
RNAcentral lists this ribosomal RNA (479 nucleotides) under uncultured organism. Its description in RNAcentral is "partial 16S ribosomal RNA". It matches the Rfam family "Bacterial small subunit ribosomal RNA", at positions 331 to 801 of the family's 1533-position model. The record is from RNAcentral.